GAGCUGGGUUCAGAACGUCGUGAGACAGUUCGGUCCCUAUCUGCCGUGGGCGUAAGAAGAUUGAAGAGAUUUGACCCUAGUACGAGAGGACCGGGUUGAACAAACCCCUGGUGUAGCUGUUGUUCUGCCAAGAGCAUCGCAGCGUAGCUAAGUUUGGAAAGGAUAAACGCUGAAAGCAUCUAAGCGUGAAGCCAACUCUAAGAUGAAUCUUCUCUAAG
This 218-nucleotide ribosomal RNA is filed under the name Campylobacter jejuni. RNAcentral's name for it is "partial 23S ribosomal RNA". It matches the Rfam family "Bacterial large subunit ribosomal RNA", at positions 2602 to 2819 of the family's 2925-position model. The record is from RNAcentral. Lineage: Bacteria; Pseudomonadati; Campylobacterota; Epsilonproteobacteria; Campylobacterales; Campylobacteraceae.